This 499-nucleotide ribosomal RNA is filed under the name uncultured bacterium. RNAcentral's name for it is "partial 16S ribosomal RNA". It matches the Rfam family "Bacterial small subunit ribosomal RNA", at positions 28 to 507 of the family's 1533-position model. The record is from RNAcentral.
GACGAACGCUGGCGGCGUGCCUAAUACAUGCAAGUCGAGCGAAGUUUUUCUGGUGCUUGCACUAGAAAAACUUAGCGGCGAACGGGUGAGUAACACGUAAAGAACCUGCCUCAUAGACUGGGACAACUAUUGGAAACGAUAGCUAAUACCGGAUAACAGUAUUUCUCGCAUGAGAGAUAUUUAAAAGUUGGUUAUGCUAACACUAUGAGAUGGCUUUGCGGUGCAUUAGCUAGUUGGUGGGGUAAAGGCCCACCAAGGCGACGAUGCAUAGCCGACCUGAGAGGGUGAUCGGCCACACUGGGACUGAGACACGGCCCAGACCCCUACGGGAGGCAGCAGUAGGGAAUCUUCCGCAAUGGGCGAAAGCCUGACGGAGCAACGCCGCGUGAGUGAAGAAGGAUUUCGGUUCGUAAAGCUCUGUUGUUAGGGAAGAAUGGAUAUGUAGUAACUAUACAUGUAAGAGACGGUACCUAACCAGAAAGCCACGGCUAACUACGUG